This 292-nucleotide unclassified non-coding RNA is filed under the name Bombus terrestris (buff-tailed bumblebee). Its description in RNAcentral is "misc RNA ENSBTSG00005028048.1". Lineage: Eukaryota; Metazoa; Arthropoda; Insecta; Hymenoptera; Apidae. The record is from RNAcentral.
AAAAGAAGGUAAUAUUUAACAGCCCAAGUAUAACACAAUGGCAGCAGAGCUAUUCAGAAAGCGACAAUAACGAUGAUAUAUUUGAAACAAAGCGGUUCACGUUAUAUUUGAUAGCUGGAAAUUUAAAGCACUCCGGAGGAUGAUACACAAAAGUUUCAAUAUUUAUUUUCCCCCGUUGGACCGUCCUUUGCAAAAAUGAAAACGCUACGAAAACUUGUUUUAUCCUACUUUAUUCGACUUGCUUUGGGACCCACUAAACUGUUAAGUUGUCCGAAAAGUGUUUUUCUUUGCG